RNAcentral lists this ribosomal RNA (464 nucleotides) under uncultured bacterium. RNAcentral describes it as "partial 16S ribosomal RNA". It matches the Rfam family "Bacterial small subunit ribosomal RNA", at positions 28 to 507 of the family's 1533-position model. The record is from RNAcentral.
GACGAACGCUGGCGGCGUGCUUAACACAUGCAAGUCGAACGGAAAGGCCCUGCUUGCAGGGUACUCGAGUGGCGAACGGGUGAGUAACACGUGGGUGAUCUGCCCUGCACUUCGGGAUAAGCCUGGGAAACUGGGUCUAAUACCGGAUAGGAGCCAUUUUUAGUGUGAUGGUUGGAAGUUUUUUCGGUGUAGGAUGAGCUCGCGGCCUAUCAGCUUGUUGGUGGGGUAAUGGCCUACCAAGGCGGCGACGGGUAGCCGGCCUGAGAGGGUGGACGGCCACAUUGGGACUGAGAUACGGCCCAGACUCCUACGGGAGGCAGCAGUGGGGAAUAUUGCACAAUGGGCGCAAGCCUGAUGCAGCGACGCCGCGUGGGGGAUGACGGCCUUCGGGUUGUAAACUCCUUUCGCUAGGGACGAAGCUUUUUGUGACGGUACCUAGAUAAGAAGCACCGGCUAACUACGUG